GAUGAACGCUGGCUACAGGCUUAACACAUGCAAGUCGUGGGGAAACGGCAUUAUGUGCUUGCACAUUCUGGACGUCGACCGGCGCACGGGUGAGUAUCGCGUAUCCAACCUGCCCCUUACUUGGGGAUACCCCGUUGAGAGACGGCCUAAUACCCGAUGUGUUUCAUUGACGGCAUCCGAUAUGAAACAAAGGUUUUUCCGGUAAGGGAUGGGGAUGCGUCUGAUUAGCUUGUUGGCGGGGCAACGGCCCACCAAGGCGACGAUCAGUAGGGGUUCUGAGAGGAAGGUCCCCCACAUUGGAACUGAGACACGGUCCAAACUCCUACGGGAGGCAGCAGUGAGGAAUAUUGGUCAAUGGACGCAAGUCUGAACCAGCCAAGUAGCGUGCAGGAUGACGGCCCUAUGGGUUGUAAACUGCUUUUAUGUGGGAAUAAAGUGGCGCACGUGUGCGCCAUUGCAUGUACCUCAUGAAUAAGGACCGGCUAAUUCCGUGCCAGCAGCCGCGGUAAUACGGAAGGUCCGGGCGUUAUCCGGAUUUAUUGGGUUUAAAGGGAGUGUAGGCGGUCUGUUAAGCGUGUUGUGAAAUUUAGGUGCUCAACAUUUAACUUGCAGCGCGAACUGUCAGACUUGAGUACACGCAGCGCAGGCGGAAUUCAUGGUGUAGCGGUGAAAUGCUUAGAUAUCAUGAGGAACUCCGAUCGCGAAGGCAGCCUGCGGGAGUGUUACUGACGCUUAAGCUCGAAGGUGCGGGUAUCGAACAGG
Molecule: ribosomal RNA, 762 nt
Filed under: Prevotella nigrescens
Lineage: Bacteria; Pseudomonadati; Bacteroidota; Bacteroidia; Bacteroidales; Prevotellaceae
Description: bacterial SSU rRNA
Rfam family: Bacterial small subunit ribosomal RNA
Source: RNAcentral